This 395-nucleotide ribosomal RNA is filed under the name uncultured bacterium. Its description in RNAcentral is "bacterial SSU rRNA". It matches the Rfam family "Bacterial small subunit ribosomal RNA", at positions 30 to 429 of the family's 1533-position model. The record is from RNAcentral.
AUUGAACGCUGGCGGCAUGCCUUACACAUGCAGGUCGAACGGCAGCGGACCUUCGGGUGCCGGCGAGUGGCGAACGGGUGAGUAAUAUAUCGGAACGUGCCUUUCAGUGGGGGAUAACGUAGCGAAAGUUACGCUAAUACCGCAUAUUCUGUGAGCAGGAAAGCAGGGGAUCGCAAGACCUUGCGCUGAUUGAGCGGCCGAUAUCAGAUUAGCUAGUUGGUGAGGUAAAGGCUCACCAAGGCGACGAUCUGUAGCGGGUCUGAGAGGAUGAUCCGCCACACUGGAACUGAGACACGGUCCAGACUCCUACGGGAGGCAGCAGUGGGGAAUUUUGGACAAUGGGCGCAAGCCUGAUCCAGCCAUGCCGCGUGAGUGAAGAAGGCCUCGGUUGUAAG